UCGAGCACACGAAGCGCCAUUGCCACGCGUUGCGUUGCUCUCGAUUGUGAUUGCCUAGCUUUGAAUGAUCCUAAUUCGAAAACGGUGCCGUUUAGACCAUAUGCUCAUCGAUAUUUUCGACUUGUUUCGAUGCCCCUUAUCGGUGCGCAGAACUUUACGACGAAGUUUUUCUUCACCCUGUAUAUUAUUUCUGUUAUAUCCGUUCGUAUGUCCGGUUGUCCUUGGCGAUCUCACUCUCAAAUGCAAAAAUAUGCUUUCAUUAAUUUCUUAAACUGCAUUCUUCUAUAGACGGAAUUGCAAUAGAUCUGCUAAUUUUUUAAAUAAAUACUCAGUAUUAAGUAAUAAAAUUAUGAUUUUAUGUGCAAUUAUUCAGGAAAGAUGAGGAAAAUUUACAAGCAAGAUUAACGGCGAAUUCAAUUUAUUGUAUUUUAAUUUCUGACGAUAAACUUGAAUAUUCUUAAAUUAUAAUAGUCUACUGGUAGCCAUG
RNAcentral lists this long non-coding RNA (487 nucleotides) under Androctonus crassicauda. The record is from RNAcentral. Lineage: Eukaryota; Metazoa; Arthropoda; Arachnida; Scorpiones; Buthidae.